Papaver somniferum (opium poppy) is the source of this 732-nucleotide long non-coding RNA. RefSeq lists it as uncharacterized. The transcript has 2 exons. Lineage: Eukaryota; Viridiplantae; Streptophyta; Magnoliopsida; Ranunculales; Papaveraceae. The record is from RefSeq and is a predicted model, not a curated record.
UUGGGUUAAUUUGGUUUCUAUUUGCAAGCCUUUGGAUAAAGAAGGUCUAGGAAUUAGGAGAUUAAAGCCGAUGAAUAGAUCUCUUCUUAUGAAAUGGUUGUGGAGGAUCCGUAAGGAAAAAAAAUGCGCUUUGAGCUAAGAUUAUUUAUGAAAAGUAUGGCUUUAUGGAUUUGGGUUGGAGGACCAAUUAUCCAAAGGCUGCAUAUGGAGUCGGCAUUUGGAAAAGCAUAUGUAAUGUGGCCGAUGACUUCUUCAAAUACAUUCAAAUCAAGUUGGGGAAUGCCUCGAAAUAUAUUUCUGUAGCUGCUGCAAAAGGUGAUAAUAGUCUUGUCUUGUCGUGGAACCUUGGCAUUGCGAGAAGGCGCUUAUAUGAUGUCGAAAUUACUGAGCUAUCUGCUUUGUUGUAUAUCCUUAUUUGGCUUGGUCACAGUUCAAGUGUUUUCUCCGUAAAAUAAGCGUACUUGAAUGAGGUAGGUACCGCUGCUUUGUCUAAUUUUCCUAAGAAGAAGAUUUGGUUGAAAUGCUGGCCUCAAAAGGUGGGGUUUUUCCUUUGGAAGUUAUGAUUGGAUAGGUUGCCAACCUUGUCUAAUUUCAUCGUAGAAACAGUGCUCUUUUCGACGAGAAUGACUUGCCUAUUUUGAACGUCUGCCCCUUCUGCAAGUUGUUUUCUGAAACUAGUGUCCACAUCUUUCUUGAGUGCACUUUCGUGAAACAAAUUUGGAGUUGUGACUA